GGAGGGGUAGCGAAGCGGCUAAACGCGGCAGACUGUAAAUCUGUUCCCUAAGGGUUCGGCAGUUCGAAUCUGCCCCCCUCCACCA
This 85-nucleotide transfer RNA is filed under the name Bacillota bacterium. RNAcentral's name for it is "tRNA-Tyr". It matches the Rfam family "tRNA". From Rfam's summary of the family: Transfer RNA (tRNA) molecules are approximately 80 nucleotides in length. Their secondary structure includes four short double-helical elements and three loops (D, anti-codon, and T loops). Further hydrogen bonds mediate the characteristic L-shaped molecular structure. tRNAs have two regions of fundamental functional importance: the anti-codon, which is responsible for specific mRNA codon recognition, and the 3' end, to which the tRNAs corresponding amino acid is attached (by aminoacyl-tRNA synthetases). tRNAs cope with the degeneracy of the genetic code in two manners: having more than one tRNA (with a specific anti-codon) for a particular amino acid; and 'wobble' base-pairing, i.e. permitting non-standard base-pairing at the 3rd anti-codon position. Lineage: Bacteria; Bacillati; Bacillota. RNAcentral also lists the same sequence under 1 other name. The record is from RNAcentral.